GUCGCAGAUGAACCCUAAUAACUUCGAACUGGAAGCACAGAGGACGAUGGAACAAUUAGCUCCCAAGUAUGGGAUCAGUUAUGCAAGUGGAAGCUUCCUAUACGAUAUCAUCCAGUUCGGAACGUACCUGCAGCAUCAGGGCAUGUGGAGUGUGUACGAAGUAUGAGAUGUUUCCUUUUGGAGCACUCUGCAGACACAGUUGAGAAUCCGUUGCUACAGGGUUGUACAUGAACACAAUUGCAGUGGACAGCUUUCCGUCGUAUAGUACCUGCGUUUUUGAAUUAUUAAUCAGUUAUUAUUGGUUAUUUCUUUUUUUUUGUUGGAAUCAUUACAACGGUGAGUACAAUAUUACUGAGAACAUUAGCAGUAUCGAACAAUCAAUGCGCUACAGCAGUAAAAUAAAGACUUAUUAUCUGACAGAUUAAACGACAAGGUAUUGCUGAUUGGUGAUAAUACAAAAGAAUUAUACGUUGUAUAUACUAUUUCAAAAACUACAGACUUUGUCUUUCAUUUUGUCUUGUCUUUUCAUUUUGAUCUCAUUAAUUGUAAGAGAAUCUACCAUAAUUAUUAUUGAUUGCUAUCUGUCAGUCAAUAAAUCUUGCUCGACUAAUAAUACAAAACUGUUUAUUAUAUACAUAAAAAAAUACAGUACAAGCAAAAAUAUUUGGAAUACCCUACAGCCAAUUAAAACUUAAUGCAAAUUCAAAACGUAUACAUAUCCUACAUGCUGAUAAAAAUAUUGGUUUACUAAUAUAAAUAAUUUAAUGAAAAUAUAGUCAAUCGUCAGCCAUAUCAAAGUUAUGCCAAAUAAACAAAGGUAAGCACCAGAUUACUCCCAUCAAGAAAAGUCUAAGAAAAUUGUGAUACUAAGCACGCAAUUCAUAGAUGACAUUCCUAUUCAUACCAAAAGUUGACGGAUGCAAUGUAAAUCUUUGUUUAUUACACGAAGCACUUGAUGCUCUGUUCUUGGUCGUUAUACGAAGUUGGUAGAUACGUUAAAGUGGUGAUAAAAUAGUUAUGGGCCAAAGCGACCCUAGUAAGGCGGCUAAACCGAAAUUAAUACGAAAUAAUAAAACAAAAUAAAAAUG
Long non-coding RNA from Cephus cinctus (wheat stem sawfly), 1088 nucleotides. RefSeq lists it as uncharacterized. NCBI's taxonomy places the organism in Eukaryota, Metazoa, Arthropoda, Insecta, Hymenoptera, Cephidae. The transcript is spliced from 2 exons. The record is from RefSeq and is a predicted model, not a curated record.